Molecule: ribosomal RNA, 301 nt
Filed under: uncultured bacterium
Lineage: Bacteria
Description: partial 16S ribosomal RNA
Rfam family: Bacterial small subunit ribosomal RNA
Source: RNAcentral
CAGCAGCCGCGGGAAUACGGAGGGUGCAAGCGUUAAUCGGAAUUACUGGGCGUAAAGCGCACGCAGGCGGUUUGUUAAGUCAGAUGUGAAAUCCCCGAGCUUAACUUGGGAACUGCAUUUGAAACUGGCAAGCUAGAGUCUUGUAGAGGGGGGUAGAAUUCCAGGUGUAACGGUGAAAUGCGUAGAGAUCUGGAGGAAUACCGGUGGCGAAGGCGGCCCCCUGGACAAAGACUGACGCUCAGGUGCGAAAGCGUGGGGAGCAAACAGGAUUAGAUACCCGAGUAGUCCCUGUCUCUUAUAC